UACGUAGGGUGCAAGCGUUGUCCGGAAUUAUUGGGCGUAAAGAGCUCGUAGGCGGUCUGUUGCGUCGGCUGUGAAAACCCGGGGCUCAACCCCGGGCCUGCAGCCGAUACGGGCAGACUAGAGUUCGGCAGGGGAGACUGGAAUUCCUGGUGUAGCGGUGAAAUGCGCAGAUAUCAGGAGGAACACCGGUGGCGAAGGCGGGUCUCUGGGCAACUACUGACGCUGAGGAGCGAAAGCGUGGGGAGCGAACAGG
This 253-nucleotide ribosomal RNA is filed under the name uncultured bacterium. Its description in RNAcentral is "partial 16S ribosomal RNA". It matches the Rfam family "Bacterial small subunit ribosomal RNA", at positions 524 to 776 of the family's 1533-position model. The record is from RNAcentral.